UAGAUAUAUAUACACAAGUCUAGUAGCUGAAGAAAAGGGAGAAGGGAGCGCAGCUUUUAACGGAUCCCCGACCCCCCACUUCAUUUUCUUCACAAGCACCCCCCUCGUUUUAAUCUUCUUCAGCAAAUAAGAACAAAAAGCAGAAAUACACAAGAGACCCACCCCCCUGAUUUCGUCUUCUCCGAACAACCCACCCCCUAAAGUUCACCUCCCUCAAACCACCCCACCCCCGAACGACCCUGAGCCUCUUCUUCUUCGUGACCCCCUCACCCAAGAACACACAACCAUCAGCCAUUAUUGAGAAGAGGGGACCUGAAGAGCUAAUCUAAUGCCUAGGAGCUAAAAACACAAAAAAAUGAGAGCUGAAACCAGCCGAAACGCACACGACCUCUUCCCCUCCCCUAACAUGUUCUUCUUCUCCAUGAACAUUGGAGAACCCUAAGACGAAAACCUCCAAACACCAGCAGCAGCCAUCGCCUCCUUCAUCUUCAUCGCCGGCUACCAUUCUUCUUUCUCCCUCGUCUCCCGUUUCUCUAUUAUUGCUGCGACGGGGACGACGGGAUUGACCAUAUAUACAUGUUUUCCGAUAGCUCACUUCUAGUACAUGUGAGGUCUAUUUCAGUUGCGUGUCGAAGUUGCCGUUCGAGGGCUCCGUCCAUGGUUCGUCGUGUUUGAGUUUAACGUUGCCUCACAACUAAUGUAUUGAUCCAUUUUGAGGUUUGGUUCCUCAUUUUUUCAUACUCCGUUUGCUUAAUAGUGUACUUCCGUCAACUUUGUUGUUCACUGUUAUAUGGAUGUUUGAGUUAUUUGUUCAGUUUGCUUUUAUUCUUAUUUAACGUUACGUGAGAAAACUUUGAGAUUUCCACUGGUGUUGUUUGUGUUUCCCUGUUGAUUGAAUGAAUGAUAUUGGGUGUUCUUUUAUGUGUAUUUGAACCUUGGAUGGACGAAGUUAUCAUCCAUGGAUUUUAAUCUGUUUGCUCAUAAGCUCGUGUUGUUAAUUUUUGUGAUAGCGUGUUAAAAUAAAUAUUUGGUGCGAGGUGCUGAAUUAACUAAUUUAGCUCAGGAAGUUUUGGAUAAUCAUUUUUAUAUUUAGCUCAUUCUAUUCCAUAAAUAUUUUAUCUAAUGUGCUGUAAAGUUUAGUAUGAAAAAUGGGUCAUGACUUUGUUCUGUUAAUAUGUCGAACAUUUGGAUGUUUAAUAGGUUACGGCAGUAAAUUGGGAUCAAGGUGUGCCAUGCCGAAUAAAAUCUUCAAACGCAUGGCCCUCGCUUAACUAUUAAUUUUAACUCUUUAAAUAUCGAGGCAUGCCAUUAGUUGAUUUUCUAUGGCCCUCGCAAACUUGAAAGUGCGUAGUUGCUUUAGGCGCGUUAUUUUAAUANGANNCNNAUCUAAUUCUUAACAAUGUUAAAUAAAAUGUGUCGCGGACCGCGGGUUCAUUUCAUGUGGCGUGGUUCAAGGCGUAAUUUAGAUGACGCUGAAUCUUCCUAAAAUUAACUUAAAGUGGCUAAUAAGUUAAAAUUGAAUCAUAGGCUAAAACAUGUAUUUAAAAUCAGAUAAUAGGCCAAUAUUAACAGUUGAGCGACCGUGCUAGGACCACGAAACUCGGGAAUGCCUAACACCUUCUCCCGGGUUAACAGAAUUCCUUACUCGGAUUUCUGGUUCGCGGACUGUAAUGAAGAGUCAAUCUUUUCCUCGAUUCGGGAUUUUAAUCGGUUACUUGGGACACCAUAAAUUAUCCCAAGUGGCGAUUCUGAAUUUAAUAAAUAAAUAAAUCCCGUUUCGAUGGUCCUUUAAUUGGAAAAACUCCCUUAUACAUCCUCUUUACGCGGGUUUAGGUGAAAAAGGAGGUGUGACAUAGGGAAUUCUGAUUCAAACGGGUAAAAACGAUUUAAGAAAAGCAAUUGAAUAAGCACUUUGUGCAAAGCAUGCAAUUAAGGGUAAAUACGUAAAAGGUUAUUUAAGGACAGGAUUUUGAAGUACAAGGUUGUACAGAUAAGGUAGGAAAAUCAAUUAGUAGCUAGUAAAUCAAUAGUUAGGGAUCUUGUAAUUACUGAUCCAUGAAUGAACCAAGUCAUAAAAGCUGAGAAUGGUUUUAAAAUUAAGUCGAGUCAUGAGGAAAAUUAGCAAACAAGGAAGGAAAAUCAAUUAGUCCUAUUCAAAAGGAAGUCUAAACUAAUCAUAAAUUUGGAAACCCCUUUAGAGGGAGGUUCAUCACAUAUAAAGAGCAUACAAACAUGUUGAGUUGAAAGAAGAUGUUGUGCCAUUGCAAAAUCAGUAGGUAGUGGUUCGUCAUAUAAGUCAGUAAUGCAGAAGAGAAGUAGCAUUCUGAUAGCAUGCAAAAGAUCCAGUAAAAAGACUUUAGAAUUAUGUGAAAACAAGGAUAACCAAGCUCAGUUCAGAGACUCGAAAUUGGUCUGAAAGAGUUGGGGGUUUUGAAAUAAUACCUUAGUUCGAGCAAAUCACAUAGCCAAACCUAGAAGAACCCCCAAAUUCUAGGGUUUCCGCCAUUAAUCGAGUGCAGAGAUGAGAGGGCAAGUACUAAAAUUCGAAACAGGUUUAGAGGUCCCCAAAAAAGAACUAAAACUUCUAACAUAUUCCUUUCAGCAACAAAACUAAUGAGAAAACAUGAUAGAAAAGUAACAUGCAGAACAUAGCAGAAGAGCUCAAAGAAAACAGAGUAGGAGAAGCUAAUACGAAACAUAAUAGGAAAAAUUGAUAAGAACAGUAGAAGAAGCAUGCUAAAAAGUUUUAGAAGAAACUUAAACAGAGCUCAGUAGACGGCUAAUAAGAAACACUUAAGAACAUAGUAAAGGAAGAUACGAUAGGAGAAACACACAAGAACACAGUAUAGGAAAACACAAGAACACAGUAUAGGAAAACACAAGAACACAGUAUAGGAAAACACCGUAGAAGAAGCAUACAAGAACACAGUAGAGGCAGAUACACAAAAAGAAAAAGAAAGUUAUAGAAACAUUUAAAUACUUUUCAGAAAAUCCUAGAUCGGAAAAGAAAUGGUUUUGAAAUUAGUUUUUCGAAAGAAAAGCCAAAAAAUCAUUUAAAAGCUUAGGGAAAGCAUAGAUACACAACAGAUCUAAAGGAAUCAGAAAACCUCGUAGGGUUAGUGUUUCAGAAGAACCUCAGUAUUGAGAAAGGCUUGAAAAAGUCACUGAUCUAAGCAGGAAAGGUCGAGGUUAGGCUCAAACAACCAUAGUACGCCGGAGCAAAGCUGGAGAUGGUCGUAGAACUUGAAUCAGACGAAGCCUGGACCAACUUCGUUGUGGUCAGGCCAUGAAUCUUCAAAAACCAGGCGUGUAGGAGCCGUAGGAGGCCGGUUUAGGAUUCCGAUGGCCUUGGAAGCCAUUGAUUCAGGUGGCUUUAGGGUGGAAGUGGUGGGAGGCGGCUAGGGUUUGAGAAGCUUCGAGAGAGUUUGAGAGAAUGGGAGGGUUCAGAGGUGGGUGGUAGGUGGAAAAUGAUUUAGGUUUAGGGGGGUAAUGGGUAAUUAAAAAUGGUAAGGUUGAAAUGUGGUCGUUGAUCAUUUUGAUCAACGACCUGGAUUAAACGGGGGAGGGUCAUUUAAACCGGCUGUGGGUUGGGUAAUUUUAGGAAUUGGGCUGGGUGAUUUGAAAUUGAAAUUGGGUUGGAUUAGGGGUGCAAAUUAGGCUGAAAUUGAAAUGAAAUUUGGCUAGAUUUUAAUUAGCCACUUUUCCUCGUUUAUUAUAUAAAAAAAACCAAAUUAAAAUCUGGAAAUAAAUUGAAAGUACUAAAAUGAUUUAUAACAUAUAAUUAUUAAUUUCAAAAUACUGGACUUAAUUUGUAUAAAUAUAAAUGCAAUCAAAUCAUAAAUGAGGCUAAUAUUGCAAUUACAUGCAGUUGAGCUUUAAAAAUACUAAAUAAAUUUGUAAAAACAUGCAAAAAUUAUUUGGGCUAUAGUAUAGCAUACAUAUGAGAAUUCAACAAGUUAAUCACCAAAAAUGAUAAUUUUGGACACUUAUUGGAUUUUUCUUGAUAAAAUAAGGCAAUAAAAUUGAUUUUAAAAGCCUUUAAAAUUAAGGAAAAAUAAUAAAAAUAUUUUUAAAUACAUAUAUAUGCAUACAUAUGCUAUUUUGAAAGUGUUUUGUAUAUAAAAUUAUAUAGAAAAAAAUUGGGUAUCAACACUUGGGAUCAGUUCUUGCCAUUUGCGGAGUUUACUUACAACAACAGCUAUCAAUCCAUCAUUUAGAUGGCAUCGUAUGAGGCUUUAUAUAGUAGACGGUGUAGAUCCCCGGUGGGUUUGUUUGAGCCAGGUGAGGCCAGAUUAUUCGGCACAAACUUAGUUCAAGAUGCUUUGGAGAAGGUCAAGGUGAUUCAGGAUAGACUCCGUAUAGCCCAGUCUAGACAGAAGAGUUACGCGAAUCGGAAGGUUCGUGAUGUUUCUUAUAUGGUUGGAGAGCGGGUUCUACUUCGGGUUUUGCCUAUGAAGGGCGUUAUGAGAUUUGGGAAGAAAGGGAAGUUGAGUUCGAGGUUUAUUGGCCCUUUUGAGAUAUUGAGGAAUGUUGGGGAGGUUGCUUAUGAGCUUACCUUACCUCCUAUCUUGGCAGGAGUUCAUCUGGUAUUUCAUAUUUUGAAGCUCCGUAGGUAUCACGGUGACUAGUCACACGUGUUAGAUUUCAGUUCAGUCCAGUUGGACAAGGAUCUAUCUUAUGUUGAGUAGCUAGUGGCAAUAUUGGAUAGGCAGGUUAGAAAGUUGAGGUCAAAGAACAUUGCAUCCGUAAAGGUUUAAUGGCGGGGUCAGCCGGUCGAGGAGGCGACUUGGGAGACCAAGAAGAUAUGUGCAGUCGUUACCCACAUCUUUUUACUACUUCAGGAUAGUCUCUAUGCUCGUUGGAGGACGAACGAAUGUUUAAGUAUAGGAGGAUGUGACGACCCGGCCGUUCGUUUUAAGAAUUUAAGCCUCGAUCCCCCAUUAACUGCUUUACCCAAGUUUAUUUCUACUAUUUUGAUUGGCCGGGAUGUUCGGUUUUGAGUUUCAGAGAGUUUUGGGACACAUAGUCCCUAAAUGAGAGCUUAAGUGUUGGAAAGUUGACCGUAGUUAGAAUAGUGUGAAGACGGACUCAGAAUGGAAAUUAGAUUGUUCUGUUAGCUCUGUUGGGUGAUUUCGAGCUUAGGGGCGUGUUCGGAUUGUGUUUUGGAUGUCCAUAGCUAAUUUAGGCUUGAAAUGCAAAAAGUUGAAUUUUUGAAGUUUCCGGUUCGAUAGUGAGAUUUUGAUCUGAUGGUUGGAAUGGAAUUCUGAAAGUUGGAGUAGCUCCAUAAUGUUUAAUGUGACAUGUGUGCAAAAUUUCAGGCCAUUCGGACAAGGUUUGAUAGACUUUUUUGAUCGAAAGCGUAUAUUUAGAGUUUUUGGAAUUCUUAGGCUUGAAUCCGAUGAAAAAUAGGUGUUUUGAUAUUGUUUUGAGCAUUCCGAAGAUUGGAACACGUUUGAACGAUGUUUUAGGAUUGGUUGGCAGGUUUGGUUGAGGUCCCCAGGGCCUCGGGUUUGGGUGGUCAAUCAGACCAUUUCAUGAUGUUUGUUGUUCUAGAAAACUGCUGUGUGUGUUGCAGAUCAGUUGUUCUUCGCGUUCGCGAAGGGUCAGGAUGUGGAGCUGAAGGUCUGGCCUUCGCGUUCGCGAGGGAGGUCCCGCGUUCGCGAAGGGCUGGGUCUUUGGACUACGCAUUCGCGAGAAGGGAGUCGCGUUCGCUAUGGACUAGGAAGUUGAGCCUUCGCGUUCGCGAAUAAGGGGACGCAUUCACGAAGAAGUAAAAAUGGUCAAUGUCAAUUUUUUCUUCGGAAAAGUGGGACUUUGACCGCGUUCGCGAAGAAGGAUUACCUAGGCAGAUUAUAAAAUUUCAAAGUCGAGGGUUUAGCCACUUUUAUCAAAACUAGAGUUUGAGAGCUCGGAUUUAAGCAAGAUUUUGAGGAAUUUUCAGAGAUAUCAAUUAGGUAACGAUUCCUUACUCCCUUUUUCUUGUAACUCAUUAAUCUAAAUAUGAAUUCAUCAUUUAAUUUCGGAAUGGAGAUUAAAAUUGGGGAAAAAUUGGAAGAAAAUUUUUAGACCUAGAACUCGUGAGAGCGUGAGGAUUCUAAAAAUAUAAAUUUUACCCGAUUUUAAGACAUGGGGCCGAGGGGCAUUUUGGUAAUUUUACCUAAUUUCGCGUAUUAGCUAAAUAUUUCUUUGUAGAAUCAGUUACUUGAAGUGUUAUUUAUAUUAUGCAAUUGAAUUCAAUAGAUUUGUUCUAUUUGGAGUCGAGUACUCGUGGUAAGAGCGUGGUUUCCGAUUGAUUUUGAACCUGUUCAAAGUAAGUGGCUUGUCUAACCUUGUGUGGGGACCUUCCCCUUAAGAUUUGGUAUAUUUGGUAAUUGAAAUGCCUUGUACGUGAGGUAACGAGUGCGUACUUGUGCUAAUUGUUUGAAAUCCGGUCUUCAUUAAGUAAUCACUAGUAUGUUUCCUUUCCUAGUUUUAUUACUUGCACUAUUAAGCCUGUUGUUAGCUUAGGAAGCAUAUCUAAGUGACUUAAUUGCUUUAUUUGCUCAACCUGCCUUACCUGAAUUCUAUAAAGCAUGCUAGGCUAGAAUCACUUGUUGCCUUAAUAUGAAAUUUUACCAUUUCCGUUUAUUUUCCUAUUGUUGCUGUGUAAUUAUUUUGGGACUAUGGAUGUGGGAUUCCGGUAGCUCCCCCUUAUCUGUUUAUUUUGGGACAACGGAUGUGGGAUUCUGGUAGCUCCCCCUGGUAUGUUUAUUUUGGGACUAUGAAUGUGGGAUUCCGGUAGAUUCCCCUGCACAGUUAUAUGGAACUACAAGAAUGCACCCGGUAGAUUCCCCAGUACUGGGUAUUUACAUUUGAGACUACGGAACUGGAUUCCGAUAGAUCCCCGCGCACUUUGAGUUGGACUACCGGAUGGGAUCCCAGGAGAUCCAUUGGAUAUGUACAUAUGGGACUACAGGACGGUAUCCUAGGAGAUCCCCGUUUGUUAAUUGGGGUCUAAGUCGCAUUUCUUUUUGUGUUUUGCCUUGUCUCUAUAAUAGUUGUUGUUGCCCUUUUUUUAUAUCAUGUGUUACUUUUACUGUUGUAUUUAUUUAUACCGUUCUGUUCUAUAUUGUCAAACUUUAUACUUUAUUUAACCUCAGUAGGGACCGAGGUUAGGCUUGACACUUACUGAGUACCGCUGUGGUGUACUCAUGCCCUUUCUGCGCAUGUUUUUCAUGUGCAGAUCCAGGUAUUGCAACUCAAUCCUAUCACCCGUGAGGCGAGGCGACUGCUCUAGAGACUUCGAGGUACAUCUGUCGCGUCCGCAGACCGAGGAGUCCCUUUCUAUUCUAGCUUUUAAACAUUUGCCCUUCUGUAUUUCUUUUCCUUGUUAGAUAUUCUGGAGUUAGAGUACUGUGUAGUGAUCCUUAGCUUGUGAUUCAUGAGUUUCCGGGUCAUGGAGAUAUGUAUUGGUUCUGAGAGUUAAAUGUUGUGUAUGGCGAGCGGCACUUUUAAAUAUUGUCUUAUUACUUUAAUUUUGUUUUAAAUUAUUUUACUUCCGAAAA
This 7544-nucleotide long non-coding RNA is filed under the name Nicotiana tabacum (common tobacco). RNAcentral describes it as "long non-coding RNA (NTAB_LNC016916)". Lineage: Eukaryota; Viridiplantae; Streptophyta; Magnoliopsida; Solanales; Solanaceae. The record is from RNAcentral.